GCAGGGAUAGCUCAGCCGGUGGAGCACAAGACGCUCAAUCUCAAAGUCGUGGGUUUGAGCCCCAUGUUGGGCA
This is a non-coding RNA of Podarcis lilfordi (Lilford's wall lizard), 73 nucleotides long. NCBI's taxonomy places the organism in Eukaryota, Metazoa, Chordata, Lepidosauria, Squamata, Lacertidae. The record is from the annotation of a GenBank genome assembly.